CCUACGGGCGGCAGCAGUGAGGAAUAUUGGUCAAUGGACGAGAGUCUGAACCAGCCAAGUAGCGUGAAGGAUGACUGCCCUAUGGGUUGUAAACUUCUUUUAUAUGGGAAUAAAAUGUUCCACGUGUGGGAUUUUGUAUGUACCAUAUGAAUAAGGAUCGGCUAACUCCGUGCCAGCAGCCGCGGUAAUACGGAGGAUCCGAGCGUUAUCCGGAUUUAUUGGGUUUAAAGGGAGCGUAGGUGGAUUGUUAAGUCAGUUGUGAAAGUUUGCGGCUCAACCGUAAAAUUGCAGUUGAAACUGGCAGUCUUGAGUACAGUAGAGGUAGGCGGAAUGCGUGGUGUAGCGGUGAAAUGCUUAGAUAUCACGAAGAACUCCGAUUGCGAAGGCAGUUCACUGGACUGCAACUGACACUGAGGCUCGAAAGUGUGGGUAUCAAACAGGAUUAGAUACCCUAGUAGUC
This 460-nucleotide ribosomal RNA is filed under the name uncultured bacterium. Its description in RNAcentral is "partial 16S ribosomal RNA". It matches the Rfam family "Bacterial small subunit ribosomal RNA", at positions 338 to 795 of the family's 1533-position model. The record is from RNAcentral.